RNAcentral lists this ribosomal RNA (253 nucleotides) under uncultured bacterium. RNAcentral's name for it is "partial 16S ribosomal RNA". It matches the Rfam family "Bacterial small subunit ribosomal RNA", at positions 524 to 776 of the family's 1533-position model. The record is from RNAcentral.
UACGAAGGGGGCUAGCGUUGCUCGGAAUCACUGGGCGUAAAGGGUGCGUAGGCGGGUCUUUAAGUCAGGGGUGAAAUCCUGGAGCUCAACUCCAGAACUGCCUUUGAUACUGAGGAUCUUGAGUUCGGGAGAGGUGAGUGGAACUGCGAGUGUAGAGGUGAAAUUCGUAGAUAUCGGGAGGAACACCGGUGGCGAAGGCGGCGACCUGGGUCGAUACUGACGCUGAUGCGCGAAAGCGUGGGGAGCGAACAGG